GUGGGGAAUUUUGGACAAUGGGCGAAAGCCUGAUCCAGCAAUGCCGCGUGCAGGAUGAAGGCCCUCGGGUUGUAAACUGCUUUUGUACGGAACGAAAAGCCUGGGGCUAAUAUCCCCGGGUCAUGACGGUACCGUAAGAAUAAGCACCGGCUAACUACGUGCCAGCAGCCGCGGUAAUACGUAGGGUGCAAGCGUUAAUCGGAAUUACUGGUCGUAAAGCGUGCGCAGGCGGUUUUGUAAGACAGUGGUGAAAUCCCCGGGCUCAACCUGGGAACUGCCAUUGUGACUGCAAGGCUAGAGUGCGGCAGAGGGGGAUGGAAUUCCGCGUGUAGCAGUGAAAUGCGUAGAUAUGCGGAGGAACACCGAUGGCGAAGGCAAUCCCCUGGGCCUGCACUGACGCUCAUGCACGAAAGCGUGGGGAGCAAACAGGAUUAGAUACCCGAGUAGUCC
This 450-nucleotide ribosomal RNA is filed under the name uncultured bacterium. Its description in RNAcentral is "partial 16S ribosomal RNA". It matches the Rfam family "Bacterial small subunit ribosomal RNA", at positions 354 to 796 of the family's 1533-position model. The record is from RNAcentral.